This is a long non-coding RNA of Prunus persica (peach), 638 nucleotides long. RefSeq lists it as uncharacterized. The transcript has 2 exons. The record is from RefSeq and is a predicted model, not a curated record. NCBI's taxonomy places the organism in Eukaryota, Viridiplantae, Streptophyta, Magnoliopsida, Rosales, Rosaceae.
UCUAUCCUCAAGGGUCUAUAAAUUGGUUGAGGCCAAGCCGCAUUAAGUUCACACAACAAUCUUGUCUUCCACCUUAAUUGUGUUGUUAAGAAAAACAUGGCAUCAUCCUCCAAGACUUUUCUUCUUCUUGGCUUUAUGUUUGCUCUUGUGAUCCUCAUCUCCUCUGAGGUCUCAGCUCGUGAGCUAGUGGAAAUUACGAAGCCAGCAACCUAUAUUGGGGUUGGAGCCUUAACACCCGGGCCAGCCUUCGCUUGCGGUCGUAAGGCGUAUGCUAAAUGCAUACCUAAACCGAGAGGGUAUGGCCCCCCAGCCCCUGGCCCCGGGAGAGUAUAGGCACGGCCAAGGGCACCAUGAAAAACCAGGACCUGGUGUUGCUGAGACUGAAAUUAGGAAUUAAAUAGUUACCCCUUUUCAGUGGAUAUUGGUUGAGUUGUUAUGUGGUAAUAUAGUAAGUGUUUUAUCAAUUAUAAAGGUUAAUGUACUGUGUUGGUUGAGUUGUUAAUAAAACUCUCAAUCAUAAUUAAUUAGGAUUUUAAGGUUGAUCUUUGUACUAGUACUCAUAUCACAAUAUGUGUCUAAGUAUGUGGCUUUCUAUCUUUAUAUAUGUUUGAAAUCUAUCCUAGUAAUUUCAAUCUUUA